RNAcentral lists this long non-coding RNA (220 nucleotides) under Gossypium barbadense (sea-island cotton). RNAcentral describes it as "long non-coding RNA (GBAR_LNC005327)". The record is from RNAcentral. Lineage: Eukaryota; Viridiplantae; Streptophyta; Magnoliopsida; Malvales; Malvaceae.
AAUUUUUUUAUCAAUUUUAAACUUUUCAUACACACGUAUAUUAUCCUUUAAUCAGGCUUACAAGGCCCAAAAUAUUCAUGAGGCAUUAUUAAAUAUUUACCAAUAUUUUAGUCUUGUAUCAUUUACUUACUCAACUUUACAACCCUAUACAUGCCAUAGACUCGAAACACUAAGAUUUACUUACGCCGAUAGCGUAGACUUGACAAUGUGAUAAUAUCUC